Molecule: ribosomal RNA, 342 nt
Filed under: uncultured Nanoarchaeota archaeon
Lineage: Archaea; Nanobdellati; Nanobdellota
Description: bacterial SSU rRNA
Rfam family: Archaeal small subunit ribosomal RNA
Source: RNAcentral
AGGGAUACCGGGUAAGGUAUCCCGCCGCACGGCUGAGUAACACGUCGGCAACCUACCCUCGGGAGGGGGAUAACCCCGGGAAACUGGGGAUAAAUCUCCAUAGGAGAUAGGUGGUGGAACUCCCCUAUCUCCGAAAGGGAUGAUGGUAAUCCUCCAUCAUCCGCCCGAGGAUGGGCCGGCGGCCUAUCAUGGUAGUUGGCGGGGUAACGGCCCGCCAAGCCUAAGACGGGUAGGGGCCGUGAGAGCGGGAGCCCCCAGAUGGGCACUGAGACAAGGGCCCAGGCCCUACGGGGCGCACCAGGGGCGAAACCUCCGCAAUGGGUAUAUGCCUGACGGGGGGAC